GGAUUCAUGAAGAUCUAAAACCAUGGAAGAAUACAGGAAUCACAAGGGAAAUGGUUGAAAGAGGGAAAAACAUUUCACAUAUUAGGCUUGUAAUUGUAAAUGGAAAAGCUUACAUAGAAAAGCAUGGCAAAGUGUUUCAAACAAGAGAUAUGUUCACAAUAUGGGGAAUUUUGCAGCUCCUAAGGUUGUAUCCAGGAAAAAUACCAGAUUUGGAGUUAAUGUUUCAAUGUGGAGACAAAACUGUGGUCAACAAAAAAGAUUUCCAAGAACCACAAAUUUCACCACCACCCGUUUUCCAUUACUGUGGAAAUGAACAGUCAUAUGAUAUUGUCUUCCCUGAUUGGACCUUCUGGGGCUGGGCUGAGCUUAACAUAAGACCAUGGGAAACAACAUUACAUAAUAUACAAGAAGGCAACAAAUUAGUGAAAUGGAAGGAUAGGAUACCCUAUGCUUUUUGGAAGGGCAAC
Molecule: small RNA, 467 nt
Filed under: Vigna angularis var. angularis
Lineage: Eukaryota; Viridiplantae; Streptophyta; Magnoliopsida; Fabales; Fabaceae
Description: Non-protein coding transcript
Source: RNAcentral